This 420-nucleotide ribosomal RNA is filed under the name uncultured bacterium. Its description in RNAcentral is "bacterial SSU rRNA". It matches the Rfam family "Bacterial small subunit ribosomal RNA", at positions 30 to 451 of the family's 1533-position model. The record is from RNAcentral.
AUUGAACGCUGGCGGCAUGCCUUACACAUGCAAGUCGAACGGCAGCACGGGAGCAAUCCUGGUGGCGAGUGGCGAACGGGUGAGUAAUAUAUCGGAACGUGCCCGGUCGUGGGGAUAACGUAGCGAAAGCUACGCUAAUACCGCAUACGAUCUACGGAUGAAAGCGGGGGAUCGCAAGACCUCGCGCGAUUGGAGCGGCCGAUAUCAGAUUAGGUAGUUGGUGAGGUAAAGGCUCACCAAGCCGACGAUCUGUAGCUGGUCUGAGAGGACGACCAGCCACACUGGGACUGAGACACGGCCCAGACUCCUACGGGAGGCAGCAGUGGGGAAUUUUGGACAAUGGGCGCAAGCCUGAUCCAGCAAUGCCGCGUGCAGGAUGAAGGCCUUCGGUUGGUAACUAGCUUUGUUACGGUAACGAAA